GGUUGCUAGGGGUUGCUUGCGGAGCGGAACCGAUUAAUAGACCAAGAAUACAAUUGUCAAUUUUAAAAUUACAAAUAUCAUUUUACUCUUGAAAAAUAUCUAAAAAAUAUCCUGCGUUUAAUUAAAAAAUUUAUAAUUUUUAUAAAGGUGUCAAUCGGUUAAUUAUUCGAACGGCAACUGUUUAAAUUAUAUAAAUACAUAGCGUUCGGAAAAUCUCGUUCACUUUCGAAAUUUUUCGGGCUUGCUUCUAGCAGGUAAGCAGCCUAUACCAAGCGACAGGUGUAAGAUAAAGAUCGUUAAGGGGGUACCCCCGUGUAAUGGAUUAAAAAAAUCCAUUUUUAUUUUUUUGCUUACAGCAGCUUGAAGAAGCAGAUAUUCGGAGCGCUUAUGAGUUGAAUAGUAGAAGGCCGGGGCCUAUCGUUACGAGUAAAAAAAAAAAAAAAAAAAACAGAAUUGAAGCAAGAGUAGAGCAAUCCACUUUGAACAAACACUUUGUGUUUUUCUUAAACUGUGUUUUUAAAACUUUCGUCCAUCAUAUCUUGACAACGGUUCCGCCGUUUCAUUUAAAAUUUAUAGACUCAGCACAUGUAGACGCACGGAAUCAUCCAGAAAUUCCGAAAGUCUGCCAAAAACCUAAUUUUCAAUAUUUGCAAACGAUUCUAGUUCACUCGAUGCAUUUAGGUUUACACAUAAAAACGCCGUUUUUUUUUUUUAGAUAAACGAUGAGUCGAAAUCAUGGAGAAAAGGAAAGUUGAAAAUUAUUAUCUGCGUCAACGAAUUUCUUCGUAAUCACGUCCGUAAAUCCAUACAUUUACUAAUCGCAAGUUAAAAUUUUAACAUACAAUAUUUCUUAAAUAUUUUCAUAUGAAAAUAUGAAGAAAAAAAAAAAAUUCAAAAACUGUUUGGAGAGAAACGGCUUAGUUAGCUUGUUUUUGGAUCUGUGAUAUUGAUACUUUUAAAAAAUUAUUGUGUAAAUUUUCUGUACAAUAUUGUAGAAAUUUUAUACAUUAAAAAGAUGGAAAAGAAAUUAUGUUUAUUUAUUCUUUUUCUAAAACUUUUAA
This is a long non-coding RNA of Microplitis mediator, 1061 nucleotides long. RefSeq lists it as uncharacterized. The record is from RefSeq and is a predicted model, not a curated record. Lineage: Eukaryota; Metazoa; Arthropoda; Insecta; Hymenoptera; Braconidae. The transcript has 4 exons.